CUUGAUCCCUUCAAGCACACCUACAAAACAAAUUAAUGUUCUUUAGGUACCCAUGCCAUCUUGGGUCCUUGGGGGUUAGGCAUAUUAUAAUAAUGCGAUUGAGUAAUAUGUCUAUGACGUGUAAAGCAUGCAGGAGCAAUCUGACCAAUGCGUCUACAAUAAUGACAAAUCACAUUUGGGUUAUGCAUCCUUCUAGGUUUAUAGUAACUAGACGGAUGAAAUUUUCUAACUCUAUUUUGAACACUAUGACUAUUUCGCAUUUCAUGAGAAUUAUUUCUCCU
This 281-nucleotide long non-coding RNA is filed under the name Nicotiana benthamiana. RNAcentral describes it as "long non-coding RNA (NBEN_LNC035255)". The record is from RNAcentral. Lineage: Eukaryota; Viridiplantae; Streptophyta; Magnoliopsida; Solanales; Solanaceae.